Molecule: ribosomal RNA, 497 nt
Filed under: uncultured bacterium
Lineage: Bacteria
Description: partial 16S ribosomal RNA
Rfam family: Bacterial small subunit ribosomal RNA
Source: RNAcentral
GACGAACGCUGGCGGCGUGCCUAAUACAUGCAAGUUGAGCGAUGAAGAUUGGUGCUUGCACCAAUUUGAAGAGCAGCGAACGGGUGAGUAACGCGUGGGGAAUCUGCCUUUGAGCGGGGGACAACAUUUGGAAACGAAUGCUAAUACCGCAUAACAACUUUAAACAUAAGUUUUAAGUUUGAAAGAUGCAAUUGCAUCACUCAAAGAUGAUCCCGCGUUGUAUUAGCUAGUUGGUGAGGUAAAGGCUCACCAAGGCGAUGAUUCAUAGCCGACCUGAGAGGGUGAUCGGCCACAUUGGGACUGAGACACGGCCCAAACUCCUACGGGAGGCAGCAGUAGGGAAUCUUCGGCAAUAGACGAAAGUCUGACCGAGCAACGCCGCGUGAGUGAAGAAGGUUUUCGGAUCGUAAAACUCUGUUGGUAGAGAAGAACGUUGGUGAGAGUGGAAAGCUCAUCAAGUGACGGUAACUACCCAGAAAGGGACGGCUAACUACGUG